GCGCACCAGGCGCGAAACUUUACAAUGUGCGAAAGCACGAUAAGGGAACUCUGAGUGCCUCCUAAGGAGGCUGUUCAGGUGUCUAAAAGCACCUGAAGGAAGGGCUGGGUAAGACCGGUGCCAGCCGCCGCGGUAACACCGGCAGCCCAAGUGGUAGCCACGUUUAUUGGGUCUAAAGCGUCCGUAGCCGGCUGGGUAAGUUCCUUGGGAAAUUUGGCUGCUUAACAGUCAAGCUUUCAGGGAAUACUGCUCGGCUUGGGACCGGGAGAGGUCAGAGGUACUCCAGGGGUAGGGGUGAAAUCCAUUAAUCCUUGGGGGACCACCGGUAGCGAAGGCGUCUGACCAGACCGGGUCCGACGGUGAGGGACGAAGGCUAGGGGGCGCGAACCGGAUUAGAUACCCCUGUAGU
Molecule: ribosomal RNA, 409 nt
Filed under: uncultured microorganism
Description: bacterial SSU rRNA
Rfam family: Archaeal small subunit ribosomal RNA
Source: RNAcentral